This 491-nucleotide ribosomal RNA is filed under the name uncultured microorganism. RNAcentral describes it as "bacterial SSU rRNA". It matches the Rfam family "Bacterial small subunit ribosomal RNA", at positions 9 to 524 of the family's 1533-position model. The record is from RNAcentral.
GAGUUUGAUCGUGGCUCAGAACGAACGCUAUCGGUAUGCUUAACACAUGCAAGUCGAACGGACUAAUUGGGGCUUGCUCCAAUUAGUUAGUGGCAGACGGGUGAGUAACACGUGGGAAUCUACCCAUCAGUACGGAAUAACUUUUAGAAUAAAAGCUAAUACCGUAUAUUCUCUACGGAAGAAAGAUUUAUCGCUGAUGGAUGAGCCCGCGUCAGAUUAGGUCGUUGGUGAGGUAACGGCUCACCAAGCCGACGAUCUGUAGCUGGUCUGAGGGGAGUGAUCAGCCACACUGGGACGUGAGACACGGCCCAGACUCCUACGGGAGGGCAGCAGUGGGGGAAUAAUUGGACAAUGGGCGAAGGCCGUGAUCCAGCAAUACCGAGUGAGUGAUGAAGGCCUUAGGUUGGUUAAAGCUCUUUUAGUCAAGGAAGAUAAUAGACGUUACUUGCAGAAAAGACCCGGCUAACUCCGUGCCAGCCGCCGCCGGUAAC